Molecule: ribosomal RNA, 252 nt
Filed under: uncultured bacterium
Lineage: Bacteria
Description: partial 16S ribosomal RNA
Rfam family: Bacterial small subunit ribosomal RNA
Source: RNAcentral
UACGUAGGGAGCAAGCGUUGUCCGGAAUCAUUGGGCGUAAAGCGCGCGUAGGUGGCCAGUAAGUCCGUUCUGGAAGUCACAGGCUCAACCUGUGAAAGCGGAUGGAUACUGCUGGGCUAGAGUCCGGAAGAGGCGAGUGGAAUUCCUGGUGUAGCGGUGGAAUGCGCAGAUAUCAGGAGGAACACCAACGGCGAAGGCAGCUCGCUGGGACGGUACUGACACUAAGGCGCGAAAGCGUGGGGAGCGAACAGG